UAACACGUAGGGGGCAAGCGUUGUCCGGAAUCAUUGGGCGUAAAGAGCUCGUAGGCGGCUCAAUAAGUCGGGUGUGAAACCCCCAGGCUCAACCUGGGGACGCCACCCGAUACUGUUGUGGCUAGAGUCCAGUAGGGGAGUGUGGAAUUCCCGGUGUAGCGGUGAAAUGCGCAGAUAUCGGGAGGAACACCAGCGGCGAAGGCGGCACUCUGGGCUGGUACUGACGCUGAGGAGCGAAAGCGUGGGUAGCAAACAGGAUUAGAUACCCUGGUAGUCCACGCCGUAAACGUUGGGCACUAGGUGUGGGGCCUUUCCAACGGGUUCCGUGCCGUAGCUAACGCAUUAAGUGCCCCGCCUGGGGAGUACGGCCGCAAGGCUA
This 379-nucleotide ribosomal RNA is filed under the name uncultured bacterium. Its description in RNAcentral is "bacterial SSU rRNA". It matches the Rfam family "Bacterial small subunit ribosomal RNA", at positions 521 to 896 of the family's 1533-position model. The record is from RNAcentral.